UUAAGUAAGGAAGGGCGUACGGCGAAUGCCUUGCCACUCGAAACUGAAGAAGGACGCGCCAAACUGCGAAAAGCUCCGUGAAGCUGUAAGGAAGCGAAGAAGCGGAGGUGUCCGAAUGGGGGAACCCGGCAGCAGACAUGAGCUGUCAUCUGCAGGUGAAUACAUGGCCUGCAAGAGAGGUACCCGGCGAACUGAAACAUCUAAGUAGCCGGAGGAAAAGAAAACAACAGUGAUUCCCUGAGUAGCGGCGAGCGAAAGGGGAGAAGCCCAAACCGGUUGAAGGACCGGGGUUGAAGGACCAUGACAUGGCAAGAACGAGGAUAGGAGAACGGGAUCGAAAGCCCGGCCGAAGAAGGUGAAAGCCCUGUAACCGAAAUCCGAGUAAAGCCUAAUGGGAUCCUGAGUACGGCGAGACACGAGAAAUCUUGUCGGAAGCAGGCGGGACCAUCCGCCAAGGCUAAAUAUAAACGAGUGAGCGAUAGUGAACCAGUACCGUGAGGGAAAGGUGAAAAGAACCGCGGGAGCGGAGUGAAAGAGAACCUGAAACCGUAUGCCUACAAGAAGUCAGAGCCCGUUAAGGGGUGAUGGCGUGCCUUUUGUAGAAUGAACCGGCGAGUUGCGACAGACUGCGAGGUUAAGGAGGAAAGACCGGAGCCGAAGCGAAAGCGAGUCUUAAGAGGGCGAAAGUAGGAUGUUGCAGACCCGAAACCGGGUGAUCUAGCCAUGAGCAGGUUGAAGUUGAGGUGAAACUCAAUGGAGGACCGAACCGACUACCGUUGAAAAGUUAGCGGAUGACUUGUGGCUAGGGGAGAAAUUCCAAUCGAACCCGGAGAUAGCUGGUUCUCCCCGAAAUAGCUUUAGGGCUAGCGUCGGAAAGAACCUUAGUGAAGGUAGAGCACUGAAUGUGUGAUGGCCCCAUCCCGGGGUACUGAAUACAAUCAAACUGCGAAUGUCAUUAAGGAUGUCCGGCAGUCAGACUGUGAGUGAUAAGGUCCAUGGUCAAGAGGGAAACAGCCCAGACCGCCAGUUAAGGUCCCAAAAUACAGGCUAAGUGGAAAAGGAUGUGGGGAUGCCCAGACAACUAGGAGGUUGGCUCAGAAGCAGCCAUCCUUUAAAGAGUGCGUAACAGCUCACUAGUCGAGUGACCCUGCGCCGAAAAUGUACCGGGGCUAAGCCUGAUACCGAAACUGCGGAUUGUAGGAAACUAUAGUGGUAGGGGAGCGUUGUAUACGAGCAGAAGCCGUACCGUGAGGAGCGGUGGAUUGUAUAGAAGUGAGAAUGCCGGUGUGAGUAGCGAGAUGUAGGUGAGAAUCCUACACACCGAAAGCCCAAGGAUUCCAGGGGAAGGUUCGUCCGCCCUGGGUAAGUCGGGACCUAACGCGAGGCCGAAAGGCGUAGUGGAUGGAAAGCAGGCGAAAGAUUCCUGCACCCGUAUAUGGAGCGAAGGAGUGACGGAGACGGAUAGUGUGACCCUCUUAAUGGAUUGAGGGCGAAGCGAAGCGGCUGGUUACCAGGCAAAUCCGGUAACCAAAAGGCUAGAGCGUGACAGGUAAGCGAAAUCCAAGGAAAGUAGCGAAGCACAUGAUGACGGCUUCCAGGAAAAGCUUCUGGCAAUGCAUAUGCGGCCCGUACCAAAACCGACACAGGUGGGCAGGGAGAGAAUCCCGAGGUGAGCGAGAGAACUGUUGCCAAGGAACUCGGCAAAAUGACUCCGUAAGUUAGCGAGAAGGAGUGCUUAAGCAAUUAAGCCGCAGUGAAGAGGCCCAAGCGACUGUUUAACUAAAACACAGCUCUCUGCGAAGUCGCAAGACGAAGUAUAGGGGGUGACACCUGCCCGGUGCUGGAAGGUUAAGAGGAUCUGUUAAGAGCGAUCUGAAGCAGUGAUCCGAAGCCCCAGUGAACGGCGGCCGUAACUAUAACGGUCCUAAGGUAGCGAAAUUCCUUGUCAGGUAAG
RNAcentral lists this ribosomal RNA (1954 nucleotides) under human gut metagenome. Its description in RNAcentral is "bacterial LSU rRNA". It matches the Rfam family "Bacterial large subunit ribosomal RNA", at positions 3 to 1980 of the family's 2925-position model. The record is from RNAcentral.